This 155-nucleotide small RNA is filed under the name Pongo abelii (Sumatran orangutan). RNAcentral's name for it is "processed transcript". The record is from RNAcentral. Lineage: Eukaryota; Metazoa; Chordata; Mammalia; Primates; Hominidae.
CUGCAGAUUCUGCGGAUGAUCCGCAUGGACCGGCGGGGAGGCACCUGGAAGCUGCUGGGCUCUGUGGUCUAUGCCCACAGCAAGCCCUGCCACCGACCCUGGCGUGGAGCCUCCACUGGCCUCAGGAGAGGGGUCCAGCCCCCAUAUCCCUGGAG